UUUCCGUAGGUGAACCUGCGGAAGGAUCAUUACAGUAGUCACCCAGGUUGCCGCAAGGCCUCCUGGGUAACCUACCACCCUUUGUUUAUUACACUUUGUUGCUUUGGCAAGCCUGCCCUCGGGCUGCUGGCUCCGGCCGGCGAGCGCUUGCCAGAGGACCUAAACUCUGUUUGUCUAUACUGUCUGAGUAUUAUAUAAUAGUUAAAACUUUCAACAACGGAUCUCUUGGUUCUG
Molecule: unclassified non-coding RNA, 234 nt
Filed under: plant metagenome
Description: partial contains small subunit ribosomal RNA, internal transcribed spacer 1, and 5.8S ribosomal RNA
Source: RNAcentral